GCUCGGUUAGCUCAGUGGUAGAGCAUCACCUUGACAUGGUGGGGGCCACAGGUUCGAACCCUGUACCGAGCACCA
Molecule: transfer RNA, 75 nt
Filed under: Verrucomicrobiaceae bacterium
Lineage: Bacteria; Pseudomonadati; Verrucomicrobiota; Verrucomicrobiia; Verrucomicrobiales; Verrucomicrobiaceae
Description: tRNA-Val
Rfam family: tRNA
About the family: Transfer RNA (tRNA) molecules are approximately 80 nucleotides in length. Their secondary structure includes four short double-helical elements and three loops (D, anti-codon, and T loops). Further hydrogen bonds mediate the characteristic L-shaped molecular structure. tRNAs have two regions of fundamental functional importance: the anti-codon, which is responsible for specific mRNA codon recognition, and the 3' end, to which the tRNAs corresponding amino acid is attached (by aminoacyl-tRNA synthetases). tRNAs cope with the degeneracy of the genetic code in two manners: having more than one tRNA (with a specific anti-codon) for a particular amino acid; and 'wobble' base-pairing, i.e. permitting non-standard base-pairing at the 3rd anti-codon position.
Source: RNAcentral